GAUGAAGAACGUAGCGAAAUGCGAUAAGUAAUGUGAAUUGCAGAUUUCAGUGAAUCAUCGAAUCUUUGAACGCACCUUGCGCUCCUUGGUAUUCCGAGGAGCAUGCCUGUUUGAGUGUCAUUAAAUUCUCAACUCUCCAACUGUUGUCAUGACUGGUGGUAGAGCUUGGACGUGAGGGUUCUGCCGGCUCCUUGUUGAGUCUGGCUCCCUUGAAAAUGAUUAGCGCAGCUUUGCACUGUCCACUUCAGGUGUGAUAAUUUAUCUACGCCCGACUAGCGACGCGCAUGAAUGGCUUUGUGCUUCUAACCGUCUCGAAAGAGACAAUACCUUUUGAACUUGACCUCAAAUCAGGUAGGACUACCCGCUGAACUUAAGCAUAUCAAUAAGCGGAGGA
RNAcentral lists this unclassified non-coding RNA (394 nucleotides) under soil metagenome. RNAcentral's name for it is "partial contains 5.8S ribosomal RNA, internal transcribed spacer 2, and large subunit ribosomal RNA". The stretch from base 1 to 120 matches the Rfam family "5.8S ribosomal RNA", at positions 35 to 154 of the family's 154-position model. The record is from RNAcentral.